Molecule: ribosomal RNA, 469 nt
Filed under: uncultured bacterium
Lineage: Bacteria
Description: partial 16S ribosomal RNA
Rfam family: Bacterial small subunit ribosomal RNA
Source: RNAcentral
GAUGAACGCUGGCGGCUUUCUUAACACUUGCAAGUCGAACGGUGAACACGGAGCUUGCUCUGUGGGAUCAGUGGCGUACGGGUGAGUAACACGUUAGCAACCUGCCCCUUACUCUGGGAUAAGCGCUGGAAACGGCGUCUAAUACUGGAUAUUUUACGUGACCGCAUGGUUUGCGUUUGGAAAGAUUUUUCGGUUGUGGAUGGGCUCGCGGCCUAUCAGCUUGUUGGUGAGGUAAUGGCUCACCAAGGCGUCGACGGGUAGCCGGCCUGAGAGAGUGACCGGCCAAACUGGGACUGAGAAAAGGCCAAGACUACUACGGGAGGCAGCAGUGGGGAGUAUUGAAAAAUGGGCGCAAGAGUGAUGCAGGCACGCAGCGUGAGGGAUAACGGACUUAAGGUUGUAAACCUCUUUUAGAAGGGAAGAAGCGAAAGUGACGGUACCAGCAGAAAGAGCGCCGGCUAACUAAGUG